Long non-coding RNA from Cucumis melo (muskmelon), 910 nucleotides. RefSeq lists it as uncharacterized. The transcript is spliced from 4 exons. The record is from RefSeq and is a predicted model, not a curated record. Lineage: Eukaryota; Viridiplantae; Streptophyta; Magnoliopsida; Cucurbitales; Cucurbitaceae.
UUCUCUUCCCUUCACCGCCAACAUUUUGAAGACAUCCAAGUUCCAUUUUUUUUUCUUUUUCCUUCUUCAAUUUGCAGAGAACUUCUAAGAGAGAGUUUGGAAGAAGAAGAGAAAUUUUACUAGAAUUUUUAGGUUGAAGAAGAGGAGGAGAACUCAAGCAAAGUGUAUCAAUGGCUGAAUUUUAGUUCAUUCUGCACAUCACUGGUUUUUAAUUCGGUUUGAACUCUUCAAAAGGAAUUAAGAGGGCAGUUGGUUUUCACUCGAAAUCAGGAGGUCUAUGGUUUUUCUUGUAUUUCAGAGUGUAUCGGUGGAGUUAGAAUCUCUGUUUGGUAUUGUUGGAAAGCUUAUUCCAUUUACUACAACUUUCAUGAAGAAAUUGUAAACCAAAAACAACUAAAUAUCAGUUAAAUUGUAGGGACAAGUUAAAGAGGUCGUGUGCGCGCGAUUCUGGAAGUGGUUCUGUUUUGAGGGUUAUAUGUGUUUAUGCACGGGGAAUCAGAUUUAUAUGUCUUCAGGCCGAGAAGAAUUAAACCGAGCUUAUAGACCAAGGAUCUAGCCCAAGACUGUAGAGAUCGACUUCCCGGUGCCUGAUAGACUGCCUUAGUCUGCGGAAGCUUCAUUAUCGAUUGCCAGUACGUGUUUUGAGUUGGGCAUAGAGUCUGUUGUGUUGUGGUGUAUAUACACCCUUGUAUGUUAUAGAUACUCCACAGUUUGUAUAAGCUUUAGGAGCUGUAGUUGUGUAAAUUUUGUUGGUUAUAUUUUGAUUAAGGUGUCUUUAGGUUUACUCGUGAAAUCGGUAAAUUUUGAGGUACACUUCAUGUAUGUGUUUGACUAGCUGUGUUUGACUAGCCUAGGAUCCGCUGUGUUUUGUGGCAUGUACAAUAGUUUAUAUACUAGAUUGGCAAGUUCA